RNAcentral lists this ribosomal RNA (253 nucleotides) under uncultured bacterium. RNAcentral describes it as "partial 16S ribosomal RNA". It matches the Rfam family "Bacterial small subunit ribosomal RNA", at positions 524 to 776 of the family's 1533-position model. The record is from RNAcentral.
UACGUAGGGGGCAAGCGUUGGCCGGAAUCAUUGGGCGUAAAGAGCGUGUAGGCGGCUCGGUAAGUCCGCUGUGAAAGUCCAGGGCUCAACCCUGGAAUGCCGGUGGAAACUGUCGAGCUAGAGUCCGGAAGAGGCGAGUGGAAUUCCUGGUGUAGCGGUGAAAUGCGCAGAUAUCAGGAGGAACACCACUGGCGAAGGCAGCUCGCUGGGACGGUACUGACGCUGAGACGCGAAAGCGUGGGGAGCAAACAGG